UACGGGGGGGGCAAGCGUUGUUCGGAAUUACUGGGCGUAAAGGGCUCGUAGGCGGCCAACUAAGUCGGACGUGAAAUCCCUCAGCUUAACUGGGGAACUGCGUCCGAUACUGGAUGGCUUGGAUUUGGGAGAGGGAUACGGAAUUCCAGGUGUAGCGGUGAAAUGCGUAGAUAUCUGGAGGAACACCGGUGGCGAAGGCGGCAUCCUGGACCAAUAUUGACGCUGAGGCGCGAAAGCCAGGGGAGCAAACGGG
This 253-nucleotide ribosomal RNA is filed under the name uncultured bacterium. Its description in RNAcentral is "partial 16S ribosomal RNA". It matches the Rfam family "Bacterial small subunit ribosomal RNA", at positions 524 to 776 of the family's 1533-position model. The record is from RNAcentral.